This 932-nucleotide ribosomal RNA is filed under the name Phialemonium atrogriseum. RNAcentral describes it as "eukaryotic LSU rRNA". It matches the Rfam family "Eukaryotic large subunit ribosomal RNA", at positions 1 to 953 of the family's 3401-position model. The record is from RNAcentral. Lineage: Eukaryota; Fungi; Ascomycota; Sordariomycetes; Cephalothecales; Cephalothecaceae.
AUUACAGAAGGUUGACCUCGGAUCAGGUAGGACUACCCGCUGAACUUAAGCAUAUCAAUAAGCGGAGGAAAAGAAACAACAGGGAUUGCCCUAGUAACGGCGAGUGAAGCGGCAACAGCUCGAAUUUGAAAUCUGGCCUCGGCCCGAGUUGUAAUCUGUAGAGGACGCUUUUGGCGCGGUGCCUUCCGAGUUCCCUGGAACGGGACGCCACAGAGGGUGAGAGCCCCGUAAGGUCGGACACCAAGCCUGUGUAAAGCCCCUUCGACGAGUCGAGUAGCUUGGGAAUGCUGCUCUAAGCGGGAGGUAUACUUCUUCUAAAGCUAAAUAUUGGCCAGAGACCGAUAGCGCACAAGUAGAGUGAUCGAAAGAUGAAAAGCACUUUGAAAAGAGGGUCAAAUAGUACGUGAAAUUGUUGAAAGGGAAGCGCUUGUGAUCAGACUCGCGCCGGGCGGAUCAUCCAGUGGUCUCCACUGGUGCACUCCGGCCGGCGCGGGCCAGCGUCGGCUGUUGCGGGGGGACAAAAGCACUGGGAACGUAGCUCUCUCCGGGGAGUGUUAUAGCCCUCUGCAGAAUACCCCCGCGGCGGCCGAGGUCCGCGCAUUGCAAGGACGCUGGCGUAAUGGUCAUCAGCGACCCGUCUUGAAACACGGACCAAGGAGUCGAGGUUUUGCGCGAGUGUUCGGGUGCAAAGCCCCAACGCGUAAUUAACGUGAACGUAGGUGAGAGCUUCGGCGCAUCAUCGACCGAUCCUGAUGUAUUCGGAUGGAUUUGAGUAGGAGCGUAAAGCCUCGGACCCGAAAGAUGGUGAACUAUGCCUGUAUAGGGUGAAGCCAGAGGAAACUCUGGUGGAGGCUCGCAGCGGUUCUGACGUGCAAAUCGAUCGUCAAAUAUGGGCAUGGGGGCGAAAGACUAAUCGAACCAUCUAGUAGCUG